Molecule: ribosomal RNA, 380 nt
Filed under: uncultured eukaryote
Lineage: Eukaryota
Description: partial 18S ribosomal RNA
Rfam family: Eukaryotic small subunit ribosomal RNA
Source: RNAcentral
CAAUAGCGUAUAUUAAAGUUGUUGCAGUUAGAACGCUCGUAGUCGGAUUUCGGGGCGGGCCGACCGGUCUGCCGAUGGGUACGCACUGGUCGGCGCGUCCUUCCUUCCGGAGACCGUGCCUACUCUUAACUGAGCGGGGGCGGGAGACGGAUCGUUUACUUUGAAAAAAUCAGAGUGUUUCAAGCAGGCAGCUCGCUCUUGCAUGGAUUAGCAUGGGAUAAUGAAAUAGGACUUUGGUGCUAUUUUGUUGGUUUCGAACACCGAAGUAAUGAUUAACAGGGACAGUCAGGGGCACUCGUAUUCCGCCGAGAGAGGUGAAAUUCUCAGACCAGCGGAAGGCGAACUACUGCGAAAGCAUUUGCCAGGGAUGUUUUCACUGA